Molecule: unclassified non-coding RNA, 200 nt
Filed under: Exophiala sp.
Lineage: Eukaryota; Fungi; Ascomycota; Eurotiomycetes; Chaetothyriales; Herpotrichiellaceae
Description: partial internal transcribed spacer 2
Source: RNAcentral
UUAAGUUCAGCGGGUAUCCCUACCUGAUCCGAGGUCAACCUUAGAAAGAUUCUCCCUGAGGGGAGGCAGACCGUGUCCCGUAAACCCGAUGUCGUCACGUGUCCCGUGAAGAACUCAGUGUACCGGGGGUCCAACGAGGCCGCCGUCAUUGUCUUUGGGAGGGGCAGGAGCCCCCGAGGGGACCUCCACCAAACCGUCCA